CCUCCCUGGCCUGGAAGGAGUGGCAUUUGGUGGUGAUGCCCAUCUUACAUAUCAUUCAGGGACAGAGCAAUCCCUUGUUUAUCCCAGCUUGGCUUUGUGUCAUGCCUGUGCCUGGUUCAUGCCUAGGACACAGGG
This is a small nucleolar RNA of Choloepus didactylus (southern two-toed sloth), 135 nucleotides long. RefSeq annotates it as small nucleolar RNA SNORA48. The transcript has a single exon. NCBI's taxonomy places the organism in Eukaryota, Metazoa, Chordata, Mammalia, Pilosa, Megalonychidae. The record is from RefSeq and is a predicted model, not a curated record.